AAUAUCAACAAUAAAACAUUAUAUAAUUGUAUAACAAUUACUUCCCCCUCCUGGGCCCAGGUAUCAUAUACACCUCCAAAAUAAAGGGACUUGAACACUAGAAGAAAAGCACCUAGACCUAACAAGUUUAAGUGAAUACCUAAAAUUGUGGUGAUUUUAUUUCUAUCUUUCCA
Molecule: antisense RNA, 173 nt
Filed under: Ipomoea nil (Japanese morning glory)
Lineage: Eukaryota; Viridiplantae; Streptophyta; Magnoliopsida; Solanales; Convolvulaceae
Description: Antisense RNA which regulates isiA expression
Rfam family: Antisense RNA which regulates isiA expression (bases 31-173)
Source: Rfam by way of RNAcentral